UACGUAGGGUGCAAGCGUUGUCCGGAAUUAUUGGGCGUAAAGAGCUCGUAGGCGGUCUGUCGCGUCGGUCGUGAAAACUUGGGGCUUAACCCUGAGCUUGCGGUCGAUACGGGCAUGACUGGAGUUCGGUAGGGGAGACUGGAAUUCCUGGUGUAGCGGUGAAAUGCGCAGAUAUCAGGAGGAACACCGGUGGCGAAGGCGGGUCUCUGGGCCGUAACUGACGCUGAGGAGCGAAAGCGUGGGGAGCGAACAGG
This 254-nucleotide ribosomal RNA is filed under the name uncultured bacterium. Its description in RNAcentral is "partial 16S ribosomal RNA". It matches the Rfam family "Bacterial small subunit ribosomal RNA", at positions 524 to 776 of the family's 1533-position model. The record is from RNAcentral.